UUCUGUUACCAAGUACUUAAGUAUUCUUAAAUAUUUUGAAGCACUUUACGUAACUGUACGUAAGUACUUUUAUGUAUUCUGUACUUUAGUGCUUGUAUUUAAGUACUGUUGAAGGUACCUAAAUCAUAAGUAACUUUAAAAAAAAAAAAUUCUGCAAGUACUUUUUCAAGCUCUCCUGGAUUCUGGUUCGUCCCCAGAAACCACUGGGUUGGGCACUUUAGGCCCUCAGUUCCAGCUGCCAUGGGCUUUUUUCUGUUGUUCCUGCUGUUCCAGCAGCCAGGGAGGGUGGUGGCUCUGCCCUCUUCAUUUCUGAUGGGUCACGACAGGUCCAGCCUAUUGGAGAGAUGCGUCAGUACAGGGAAGGGGGCAGAGCAGGCAGGCACAUACCUCUCAGUGUCCUGCAUUGAGAAGACAAGCCCAGUAGCUGCAUACCCUGCAGGAUAGGAUAAGAAAUGCCUACCAGGCACUGGGCAUGCUCCAGUGCUGAAGGGGCUAUUGGAAAAUUGGGGCCUAAGGAAUUGUUUUGUCAACUUCCACCUGGCGCCACCACUGCCAGUCAUUGUAUCAUUGAUUAUACUUCCUGAUUCAUUUCCUGUUGAAUUGUAAAUAUUCUUAGUCUUCUUUAAUCUGGAAAUAUCUCUUCAGUCACUAAUGGCGUCUGAAAAUAAAGUGUUGCCGAUUGUAGUGAGAACUUACUUCUCAGAUGUUGUUGAAGAUGAUGGGAACUUUAUUGAAGCAGUUUGUAGUUUGUACAAACCGAAAAGAAAGACAAUUCACAGACAACAGAAGGCAUUCUCAGAUUUCACCAAACAUGCAGAGAAGUCAUGAAGAAAAGGACUUUGGAUGCAAGCAAACUAUUGAUGACUUGCUCACAGCAUCUGAGGAAACCCCAAAGUGAAAGGCCCCCUGUCUGAUGGAGCAGUGUCCAAAGAAAAAAUAGACAAGAUAAUUCUCAGUUUUAUUAGUGAUAUGCUGACUCUGUCAACUGUUGAGGGGUGUGGCUUUCACACUUUAUUUACUGGAAUUAUUCCCAAAGCUGCUGUCAUGUGAACUGAAAAAAUAAAGAUUAAACUACUGGGAUAAUACAACUUGGUUCUUGAAAGCAUAAAAAACAAAUUGGCAUCUCUACAUUAUGUUUGCACAACUGGAGAUGUGUGGACCCUUCAGGCGAGAAGCUACAUGGGUAUUACCUGUCACUGGAUUGAUUACUAAUCCAACAAGAGUCUGCCGUUUUAAGCUUCCAACACUUUAUUGGAAUACAUUGAUAACAAUAAGAUCACUUCUCUUUUGACUCAGAUCCGCUCACCGUUUGAUCUGGACUCAGUAAAAAUAACACUUGGCAAAGACAGUGUUAGCAGUUUUGUUAAAGCCUUCAAGCUGUUUUCAGGGCCUGGAGUGUUGGAGGAUGAUGCUGAUAAGAAAGUGGAGGAGGAUGCUAGUGAACAAGUGGACACCCUGCGUUGUGAUAGAAGUAGCCAUGUGAGUAUGGAUGAAGUUUUGACAAGCGAUACUGCUGACUGUUCACGUAUUUUUUACCACCACAUAUUUUGCCACUACGUAUGACUGUUUUUGAUACACUCUGAACUUGGUAGCAACUACUGAUGCUUCUAGGGCUCUUGUCAAGAACUCUCAUCACAAGCAUCUCUUCAGAAAUGUAGUGGGUAAGUGCUCUAUCUUAAGCAACACUGCAUACUAGAGUUCAAAGAAUUCUGAGAUUGUGAAUGACACACUUGGAAAAACAAUCCGCAAACUUACCUCUACACAAUAGAAUUCAGAGUUCAAUAGCUUUCACCAUAUUUACAAUAUGCCUGAUGGAGAAUUUUGGCAGUGGGAGACACUCUAACACAGCUGGAAUUUCUAGGUGACUUGUUGGAGGUGAUGUCUGCAGUUGCCACUGGACUUGACAGACUUAAGGGGAGGAGAACAUUAGUCUUUCUAUGGUGUGAUUCUGCCUACCACACUUGUGCUAAAAUCUAGACUUGACUCAUUUUUUCCAAAAUACAAUUCUUGCUUGGUAGAUAAUGUGAAGAAAGGCUAUAGAAAAGGUUUGGAUGUAUUUUGACAUUUGAUGCAGCUGUGAGUAACAAAAGUGCAAAGUCAUUUGUUGUUGUUUCUGUGCUACACCGAUUUUUUUAAAGUUGCGUUGGCUGCUGAAUCAGAUGGAGAGAAAAAUUUCAGAGGAAGUUCUUUUUACAUGAUAUGGUUUGUUGUGACAGCCUACCAAAGCCUACAGAUCAAGCGAUAACAUCCAAAGAUGCCACUAAUUUCUAAUGCUUUGAUGAUCGGGGGCAUCUGACUCCCACUUAAGAAUUGUUGGUAUGCAUCUCCUCAGUGAUCCAUCUCAUGAAUUUGAUCAACUGAAAAAAUAUCCAGUAGUUAUUAAACUUUUUAUUAAAUGUAAUACUACCCUGCCAGUCAUGCUCCAGUGGGAAGAUUAUUCAGUAGUGCUAGACAAAUCUUUUUGCCAAGAAGGAACUGUCUUCAGGAUGAUACGUUCAAGAGUCUACUAUUGUUGAAGAAAAUGACCAUUUCAUCGAAUGAGCUGCUGUUUGUACAUAAUAUAUAUAUAAAAAAAUGAUAUAAUGGAAAGGAAAUUUAUUUACGUUUUAAGUGAUUUUUUUCAUUGUUCCAUUCUCUUUUCUGUAUAUAAAUAAAGUUUGAUCGUUGUUCUUUUUCUUUCUCCAA
Gopherus flavomarginatus (Mexican gopher tortoise) is the source of this 2685-nucleotide long non-coding RNA. RefSeq lists it as uncharacterized. The record is from RefSeq and is a predicted model, not a curated record. Lineage: Eukaryota; Metazoa; Chordata; Testudines; Testudinidae. The transcript has 2 exons.